UACAAGGUGGUAUCAGUUGGUAGAGCAUGAGACUUUAAAUCUCAAGGUCGUGAGUUCGAGCCCCACGCUGGGUCA
This is a non-coding RNA of Podarcis lilfordi (Lilford's wall lizard), 75 nucleotides long. The record is from the annotation of a GenBank genome assembly. Lineage: Eukaryota; Metazoa; Chordata; Lepidosauria; Squamata; Lacertidae.